AUACGUAGGGGGCGAGCGUUGUCCGGAAUGAUUGGGCGUAAAGGGCGCGUAGGCGGCCCGGUAAGUCUGGAGUGAAAGUCCUGUUUUUAAGAUGGGAAUUGCUUUGGAUACUGUCGGGCUUGAGUGCAGGAGAGGUAAGUGGAAUUCCCAGUGUAGCGGUGAAAUGCGUAGAGAUUGGGAGGAACACCAGUGGCGAAGGCGACUUACUGGACUGUAACUGACGCUGAGGCGCGAAAGUGUGGGGAGCAAACAGGAUUAGAUACCCUGGUAGUCCACACUGUAAACGAUGAAUGCUAGGUGCAGGGGGUAUCGACCCCUUCUGUGCCGCAGUCAACACAAUAAGCAUUCCGCCUGGGGAGUACGGCCGCAAGGUUGAAACUCAAAUGAAUUGACGGGG
RNAcentral lists this ribosomal RNA (397 nucleotides) under uncultured bacterium. Its description in RNAcentral is "partial 16S ribosomal RNA". It matches the Rfam family "Bacterial small subunit ribosomal RNA", at positions 523 to 918 of the family's 1533-position model. The record is from RNAcentral.